RNAcentral lists this ribosomal RNA (1755 nucleotides) under Escherichia coli. RNAcentral describes it as "partial 23S ribosomal RNA". It matches the Rfam family "Bacterial large subunit ribosomal RNA", at positions 937 to 2675 of the family's 2925-position model. The record is from RNAcentral. Lineage: Bacteria; Pseudomonadati; Pseudomonadota; Gammaproteobacteria; Enterobacterales; Enterobacteriaceae.
UACCAACCCGAUGCAAACUGCGAAUACCGGAGAAUGUUAUCACGGGAGACACACGGCGGGUGCUAACGUCCGUCGUGAAGAGGGAAACAACCCAGACCGCCAGCUAAGGUCCCAAAGUCAUGGUUAAGUGGGAAACGAUGUGGGAAGGCCCAGACAGCCAGGAUGUUGGCUUAGAAGCAGCCAUCAUUUAAAGAAAGCGUAAUAGCUCACUGGUCGAGUCGGCCUGCGCGGAAGAUGUAACGGGGCUAAACCAUGCACCGAAGCUGCGGCAGCGACGCUGAUGCGUUGUUGGGUAGGGGAGCGUUCUGUAAGCCUGUGAAGGUGUGCUGUGAGGCAUGCUGGAGGUAUCAGAAGUGCGAAUGCUGACAUAAGUAACGAUAAAGCGGGUGAAAAGCCCGCUCGCCGGAAGACCAAGGGUUCCUGUCCAACGUUAAUCGGGGCAGGGUGAGUCGACCCCUAAGGCGAGGCCGAAAGGCGUAGUCGAUGGGAAACAGGUUAAUAUUCCUGUACUUGGUGUUACUGCGAAGGGGGGACGGAGAAGGCUAUGUUGGCCGGGCGACGGUUGUCCCGGUUUAAGCGUGUAGGCUGGUUUUCCAGGCAAAUCCGGAAAAUCAAGGCUGAGGCGUGAUGACGAGGCACUACGGUGCUGAAGCAACAAAUGCCCUGCUUCCAGGAAAAGCCUCUAAGCAUCAGGUAACAUCAAAUCGUACCCCAAACCGACACAGGUGGUCAGGUAGAGAAUACCAAGGCGCUUGAGAGAACUCGGGUGAAGGAACUAGGCAAAAUGGUGCCGUAACUUCGGGAGAAGGCACGCUGAUAUGUAGGUGAAGCGACUUGCUCGUGGAGCUGAAAUCAGUCGAAGAUACCAGCUGGCUGCAACUGUUUAUUAAAAACACAGCACUGUGCAAACACGAAAGUGGACGUAUACGGUGUGACGCCUGCCCGGUGCCGGAAGGUUAAUUGAUGGGGUCAGCGCAAGCGAAGCUCUUGAUCGAAGCCCCGGUAAACGGCGGCCGUAACUAUAACGGUCCUAAGGUAGCGAAAUUCCUUGUCGGGUAAGUUCCGACCUGCACGAAUGGCGUAAUGAUGGCCAGGCUGUCUCCACCCGAGACUCAGUGAAAUUGAACUCGCUGUGAAGAUGCAGUGUACCCGCGGCAAGACGGAAAGACCCCGUGAACCUUUACUAUAGCUUGACACUGAACAUUGAGCCUUGAUGUGUAGGAUAGGUGGGAGGCUUUGAAGUGUGGACGCCAGUCUGCAUGGAGCCGGCCUUGAAAUACCACCCUUUAAUGUUUGAUGUUCUAACGUUGACCCGUGAUCCGGGUUGCGGACAGUGUCUGGUGGGUAGUUUGACUGGGGCGGUCUCCUCCUAAAGAGUAACGGAGGAGCACGAAGGUUGGCUAAUCCUGGUCGGACAUCAGGAGGUUAGUGCAAUGGCAUAAGCCAGCUUGACUGCGAGCGUGACGGCGCGAGCAGGUGCGAAAGCAGGUCAUAGUGAUCCGGUGGUUCUGAAUGGAAGGGCCAUCGCUCAACGGAUAAAAGGUACUCCGGGGAUAACAGGCUGAUACCGCCCAAGAGUUCAUAUCGACGGCGGUGUUUGGCACCUCGAUGUCGGCUCAUCACAUCCUGGGGCUGAAGUAGGUCCCAAGGGUAUGGCUGUUCGCCAUUUAAAGUGGUACGCGAGCUGGGUUUAGAACGUCGUGAGACAGUUCGGUCCCUAUCUGCCGUGGGCGCUGGAGAACUGAGGGGGGCUGC